CUUAUGAACAGUGUAUUUAGCACAUUUACCAAUUUACCCUCUUACCUUUUCUUCUCCAGUCCAACCUGCAUUCACCAGCCUAGAAAUCACUAACCCCUCUCUUCUUCAGUAUCCUCCUCUCUCCUUUCAAGAAACCUGGACUCCGGCCUCCAUCGCGCCACCUCUUGUGGCCGAAUUCUCCCGCCCCUCUCUUCUUUCAUUCUCCUCCUCUCUCUUCAAGAACCAUGAAAUCCAGCCUUCAUCGCGCCCUCUCUUGUGGCCGAGCAGAACAGAGGGAGAAAAAGAGGGAGGCGGCGGCGGUGGGAACUACUGUUGGAACUGGCGGUGGUGGCGUCGGCGAGGCAGAGGCGACAGGGAAAAAAAAAUCUCUCUCCUCUCAUUUGUUUUAGGUUUUAUUUUCCGUCGUUUUUAGCUGUCGAGCAUCUCCAUAAUGGUCUUCUCUCGAAUUAUGGCCAAGUUUGAGAAAACCUUCAUUCUAUCAUUUGCAAGUAUAGUUCGAUAUGCUGCAGCCUGCUAAUGCUGAGGAAGUGGGUUUCAUCAAGUUCAGUCUGAUUUGCUGGUCUGGUUUCUUUCAGUUCAGUCUGAUUUGCUGCAUUACUCCAUAUUCUUGAAUUGGGAACUUGGGAAUUAAAUGCUAUAGUGUUUGAGUGCCUCGGCUAAUAAACUAGAUAAGCUCAAGACACAAGCAUCAGACUAUGCAGCUUUCAUCAUGAACGAGCUUCAUCCUCAACGCCUAGGAUAUUAAAACUUUAGGGAACUUGAAACAUUAUUUUCUCGGGGAAUGAAGACUAAAGUCAACAACGAAGCCCAUGUGGAGAUGAUUCCUGAUAAAUCAGUUUGGAAAGUGGUAUCUAGGACAGCAGAAUAUUUUUAGGUGUCUAACAUCAUGCCUUAUGCUAGUGAUUAUUUAUAAUCUAUUGAUUGUUCAUGGAUACGUCUUUCUCCUCUCUUACAAGCAGAGGCGUAUUAACAAGUGUUACAUGAAAUCAAUUUGUAUAUGGCUCGAGCUGAUAUCAAUAUCAUUCGAGUUGUAAUAAUGAAUGCAGACAUGGAUGCAUUUCGCCUUUUAGUACUGUUUUUUCUACUGAAACUAUCUAGGGACAGUGGUUAUUAUGAUAGUAUCAUGGAUUCAUGUUA
Molecule: long non-coding RNA, 1137 nt
Organism: Spinacia oleracea (spinach)
Lineage: Eukaryota; Viridiplantae; Streptophyta; Magnoliopsida; Caryophyllales; Amaranthaceae
Exons: 5
Source: RefSeq, a predicted model, not a curated record